CCCUACGGGAGGCAGCAGUGGGGAAUUUGGACAAUGGGGGAAACCCUGAUCCAGCCAUUCCGCGGAGUGAAGAAGGCCUUCGGGUGUAAAGCUCAUUCGGCCGGAAGGAAACGGCGAGCUCUAACACAGCUCGAUAAGACGGUACCGAAGAGAAGCACAGCUACAC
Molecule: ribosomal RNA, 166 nt
Filed under: uncultured bacterium
Lineage: Bacteria
Description: partial 16S ribosomal RNA
Rfam family: Bacterial small subunit ribosomal RNA
Source: RNAcentral